GGUGGUCGACAUCUUAGGAGGUGAUCGGCGCGCUGGCUGAAAGAGGCGGUGGUUGGUGCAGUGGGGCGACGAGCGAGAGAGAAGAGAGAUUAAGGUUUUCAAAAAAAAAUUUAUUCUAAAAAAUAAGGUUAGGACGAAGAAUACUUCCAUCUAAAUUAAUAAAUCCACGUAGGCAAGUCAUGCUGGAUAGCCGGCAAUCCAUGUCGAUUUUCGAGAGUCGGAAAAAUUUAAUAGGACACAAACAAUAUUUUUUUGAUAGGUUGGAUUCGUUUUAAUAUAAUAUUAGGUUGUGAUAUUUUUGAGAAUUCGUUAAAAUGAUGGGACAGAAAAUGACCUUUAUGUGUUUGGAAUUAUUUGAAUCGUUAUUUAGGCAGAAAAUGAAACUGCAAAUAUUCAUACUUUUAUU
This 406-nucleotide long non-coding RNA is filed under the name Salvia miltiorrhiza (redroot sage). RNAcentral's name for it is "long non-coding RNA (SMIL_LNC008602)". Lineage: Eukaryota; Viridiplantae; Streptophyta; Magnoliopsida; Lamiales; Lamiaceae. The record is from RNAcentral.